RNAcentral lists this ribosomal RNA (266 nucleotides) under uncultured bacterium. RNAcentral's name for it is "partial 16S ribosomal RNA". It matches the Rfam family "Bacterial small subunit ribosomal RNA", at positions 524 to 785 of the family's 1533-position model. The record is from RNAcentral.
UACGUAGGUGACCAGCGUUGUCCGGAUUUACUGGGCGUAAAGGGCGCGUAGGCGGGUCCGCAAGUCGAUCGUGAAAUCCUUCGGCUCAACUGAAGGGGGUCGGGUCGAUACUGCGGGUCUUGAGGGAUGCAGAGGAGACUGGAAUUCCCGGUGUAGCGGUGAAAUGUGUAGAGAUCGGGAGAAACACCGGUGGCGAAGGCGGUUCUCUGGGCCUUGACCUGACGGCUGAGGAGCGAAAGCGUGGGGGAGCGAACAGGAUUAGACUA